AUACGUAGGGGGCGAGCGUUAUCCGGAAUUAUUGGGCGUAAAGAGUGCGUAGGUGGCUGUUUAAGCGUGGGGUGAAAGGCAAUGGCUUAACCAUUGUAAGCCUCGCGAACUGGAUAGCUUGAGUGCAGGAGAGGAAAGCGGAAUUCCUAGUGUAGCGGUGAAAUGCGUAGAUAUUAGGAGGAACACCAGUGGCGAAGGCGGCUUUCUGGACUGUAACUGACACUGAGGCACGAAAGCGUGGGGAGCAAACAGGAUUAGAUACCCUGGUAGUCCACGCCGUAAACGAUGAGCACUAGGUGUCGGGGUCGCAAGGCUUCGGUGCCGCAGUUAACGCAUUAAGUGCUCCGCCUGGGGAGUACGCACGCAAGUGUGAA
Molecule: ribosomal RNA, 374 nt
Filed under: uncultured bacterium
Lineage: Bacteria
Description: bacterial SSU rRNA
Rfam family: Bacterial small subunit ribosomal RNA
Source: RNAcentral